Molecule: ribosomal RNA, 434 nt
Filed under: uncultured Oscillibacter sp.
Lineage: Bacteria; Bacillati; Bacillota; Clostridia; Eubacteriales; Oscillospiraceae
Description: partial 16S ribosomal RNA
Rfam family: Bacterial small subunit ribosomal RNA
Source: RNAcentral
ACGGAAGGCAGCAGUGGGGAAUAUUGGGCAAUGGGGGAAACCCUGACCCAGCAACGCCGCGUGAAGGAAGAAGGCUUUCGGGUUGUAAACUUCUUUUAUCAGGGAAGAUAAUGACGGUACCUGAUGAAUAAGCCACGGCUAACUACGUGCCAGCAGCCGCGGUAAUACGUAGGUGGCAAGCGUUGUCCGGAUUUACUGGGUGUAAAGGGCGCGUAGGCGGAGCGGCAAGUCAGAUGUGAAAUCUAUGGGCUUAACCCAUAAACUGCAUUUGAAACUGUUCUUCUUGAGUGCUGGAGGGGCAAUCGGAAUUCCUUGUGUAGCGGUGAAAUGCGUAGAUAUAAGGAGGAACACCAGUGGCGAAGGCGGAUUGCUGGACAGUAACUGACGGUGAGGCGCGAAAGUGUGGGGAGCAAACAGGAUUAGAUACCCUGGUA